This 21-nucleotide non-coding RNA is filed under the name Arabidopsis thaliana (thale cress). Lineage: Eukaryota; Viridiplantae; Streptophyta; Magnoliopsida; Brassicales; Brassicaceae. The record is from RNAcentral.
UGAGUCAAUUUCAGGAGUUCU